UUGACCCAGCUUUCUCUCCCGUCCUUCCCCACCCACUGAGUAACCUUGACGUGACAGAGGGCCCAGUCCCCGCAAGCAGGCUGCUGCCGCUCCUGCGGCAGGCGGGAGUGGAGGCCAACAGACUAAUGAAGGGCGAGGGAGGGAGCCCACGCGGCGCCCCUGGCUGCUCCUCCACCGUGGACAGGCCCGGGGCUUUUGUUCUCCGAGCCACCGAAAGAAGCAAUUACCGCGCAAACAGGAGUUUGCGGAGGUUAAUACCCAUCACUCUAGCCAGGAUAAAUAUUUUGAAGACAAGAGGCAAAAGAGAGAGAGACAUGAGCGGGGGAAGGGCAGAGAGAGAGGGAGACAGAAUCUGAAGCAGGCUCCAGGCUCUGAGCUGUCAGCGCAAAGCCCCACGCGGGGCUCGAACUCACAGACCUCGAGAUCACGACCUGAGCCGAAGUCACACUCAACCGACUGAGCCACCCAGGUGCCCCAGGAAUAUUCUCCAUUUGUAACUAGGAAAUUGCUCACUUUUUCCAAGAAGCCGUUAUCCAAAAGGCUUUCCACUAAGACACUAAUACUUUUACUUUUUGGGGAGUUGGGAAAGACUGAUACUGUUUCCAUUAUUACAAAACUGGGGUUUAGGGUAAAUUCAAUGAUUUUGCCCCAAAGACAAUGUCAGAUUAGCCCCCCAAAAAAGUGCUCUUUCAUCGAGAUUAGGGUUUCCAAAUUCCAGCAUACAUAUUACCAGCAGGAUGUUUGUGUAAAUCAGAUUCAUGGCCCCACCUCCCACCAUGCUCACAGAGGGAGUCUGGUG
This is a long non-coding RNA of Panthera uncia (snow leopard), 799 nucleotides long. RefSeq lists it as uncharacterized. The transcript has 3 exons. The record is from RefSeq and is a predicted model, not a curated record. Lineage: Eukaryota; Metazoa; Chordata; Mammalia; Carnivora; Felidae.